RNAcentral lists this RNase P RNA (377 nucleotides) under Thermochaetoides thermophila DSM 1495. Its description in RNAcentral is "Chaetomium thermophilum var. thermophilum DSM 1495 Nuclear RNase P". It matches the Rfam family "Nuclear RNase P". Rfam says of the family: Ribonuclease P (RNase P) is a ubiquitous endoribonuclease, found in archaea, bacteria and eukarya as well as chloroplasts and mitochondria. Its best characterised activity is the generation of mature 5'-ends of tRNAs by cleaving the 5'-leader elements of precursor-tRNAs. The record is from Rfam by way of RNAcentral. Lineage: Eukaryota; Fungi; Ascomycota; Sordariomycetes; Sordariales; Chaetomiaceae.
UCCUCUUCAACGCUGCGUUUCUAUGCCACAAACGGAGAGCGCUUGCGCAAGCAGCGCUUUCAAAUCCAUCUUUCUCUGGCAUAUGAGAAAUUCGGAGAAUCGGCUUCACUCUUGGUUUGUCCAUUCCUCACUCUCGGGUGUUGGAUGGGUUACGAGCUCUGCCGGUGACGGCUUGGCGCGAAUUCGCGUCUGUAAUUGGCAUCAGAAAAGCAGGGCUUAGAGGCCAACCUUGUGCUUUUGCGAGGGGAAUUGGUCAUCUAGGUUCCUCUGGGAGGGCCGUUACGAAGCUUGUGAGCAAUCACUUGAGUGCAAUACGCAGCGUGUGGCCUGCCUUCUGGGCAGAUCACACAAUUCGAUUCCGAUUAUCCUGUUGAGGA